This 248-nucleotide ribosomal RNA is filed under the name uncultured bacterium. RNAcentral's name for it is "partial 16S ribosomal RNA". It matches the Rfam family "Bacterial small subunit ribosomal RNA", at positions 523 to 769 of the family's 1533-position model. The record is from RNAcentral.
AUACGUAGGGUGCGAGCGUUAAUCGGAAUUACUGGGCGUAAAGCGUGCGCAGGCGGUUAUAUAAGACAGAUGUGAAAUCCCCCGGGCUCAACCUGGGACCUGCAUUUGUGACUGUAUAGCUAGAGUACGGUAGAGGGGGAUGGAAUUCCGCGUGUAGCAGUGAAAUGCGUAGAUAUGCGGAGGAACACCGAUGGCGAAGGCAAUCCCCUGGACCUGUACUGACGCUCAUGCACGAAAGCGUGGGGAGC